This 217-nucleotide long non-coding RNA is filed under the name Elaeis guineensis (African oil palm). RNAcentral describes it as "long non-coding RNA (EGUI_LNC062665)". The record is from RNAcentral. Lineage: Eukaryota; Viridiplantae; Streptophyta; Magnoliopsida; Arecales; Arecaceae.
GAAGUCUAAUCCUAAACAUCUUAAGAUUUGGGAUUAUCCUGCUUAUGUCAAAAAUAUUUUUGGACAUAAGCUUAGUGCUAGAUCAGACAAAUGAAGGUUUAUAGGAUAUCCUAAGAAAACUAAUGAAUACUACUUAUACCACCUUACUGAACAAAAGGUAUUUGUUAGUAGGCACGCUAUUUUCUUGAAAAAUAAAUUCAUCCAAGAAGGAGGCAGU